This 1078-nucleotide long non-coding RNA is filed under the name Bos grunniens (domestic yak). RNAcentral describes it as "lncRNA (ENSBGRG00000010239.1)". The record is from RNAcentral. Lineage: Eukaryota; Metazoa; Chordata; Mammalia; Artiodactyla; Bovidae.
GUCCCUGAUCCUCUUUAGGUCCCAGUUUUCCCACCUGGGAAAGGAAGGGCGGAUCCUUUGCUUGGGAAGGUCUCCAAUUGCGUUACUAUCCAGUGAGUCUCCCAUUAAGUCUUUUCAGCUGCACUUUCUGAGAAAGGCUGAAGUAAAGCAGUUUUUCCCCCUUCAGGUGGAAAAGAGAGCCGGGGCCAACCCGUCUGGGUGCGGACCUGUCAUUAGGAAGCCAGCUGCCAGCUUGUGUUCCCUUGGGAUGGAGGAGGAGCCCCGCGGUCCCUGCCAGGAGAGGGUCCCUUUAACAAAAAGCUGGUGCCGCCAUCUGCUUUCGCCCUCUGGGUAAUUCAGCUCCUGGGUGCCCUGAUGUGGAGAGUGGCGAGGGAGGCGUUGGGGAGGGGGGGCGGGUAGGUCAGUGGGCAGGCCUCGAUUCAAGGUUCUUAUUGGACUUUAGAGCCUUUACUCGCCGAGUUAAUUUCCCCAACUUGCCUAUCACAGGUUAAUACUGGACCCGUGCAUAAUGAUACAUAAUUUAAGACUUGUAAAAGCUGCCCAGGACUUGAAAGGAACACAGUCUAAGCCAGGAGCCUGUGCCUGGCAUGCAAGAGCAAGUAACACAGCAGAGGCAAGAAAGCAAGCCUCCAUGGAAGCGGAAGUGCUGGAACCUCGCUCAGCCCGAGUUGCAAACCUCUGCAGGCCAGUGGAAGUUUUGUAUUUUUUUCUUUAAAAGCAACUGGUUGUUCACCACACACUCGCUCACUUUAGGGUCGACAGGUGUAUGCUGUUCGGAAAUGUGGCAAACCCGCAGGCUGAUUCCUUGGGCUCUUUGCUACCUAAGAAAGAUUACCAAAUAAGUUAACUUUGACUCACUGACCCCUCAGAUCAGCCAAUAAAAUGAAGCGCUUACACCACAACUUGCUCAAGGGGUAGUGUAAUUGAUUUACUUAAAAAUGAUGUCAGGUGGCAAUUGAGCAACAAACUGGCUUCCAGACUGCUUAAUUCAGUUUAACAAGGAGGAAAAACCUUGUAAUUAACGGAAGAGCUUGAAUACUUUGGAAGCUGUUUUCAAAGUCUGCCAUACCUAAGCUGG